RNAcentral lists this ribosomal RNA (204 nucleotides) under uncultured ammonia-oxidizing archaeon. RNAcentral describes it as "partial 16S ribosomal RNA". It matches the Rfam family "Archaeal small subunit ribosomal RNA", at positions 471 to 675 of the family's 1478-position model. The record is from RNAcentral.
UAAUACCAGCACCCCGAGUGGUCGGGACGAUUAUUGGGCCUAAAGCAUCCGUAGCUUGUUCUGCAAGUCUUCCGUUAAAUCCACCUGCUCAACAGAUGGGCUGCGGGAGAUACUACAGGGCUAGGAGGCGGGAGAGGCAAGCGGUACUCAGUGGGUAGGGGUAAAAUCCUCUGAUCCACUGAAGACCACCAGUGGCGAAGGCGG